Molecule: long non-coding RNA, 619 nt
Organism: Bos taurus (domestic cattle)
Lineage: Eukaryota; Metazoa; Chordata; Mammalia; Artiodactyla; Bovidae
Source: Ensembl
GGAUCGUGGGUUCUAAGUCGGAUGGAGGUAGAAGGAAAUCUGCGGCGGUGGAGCUCUUUGCAACCCUAUGGAUUGUAGCCCGCCAGGCUCCUCUAUCCAGAUUCUCCAGGCAAGAAUACUGGAGUGGGUUGCCAUGCCCUCCUCCAGGGGAUUUUCCUGAUGCAGGUAUCGAACUGGUGUCUCCAAUGUCUCCUGCAUUGAAGGACUCUUGAAGACUGAAAAACCAAGACGUCCGGUCUUGACACCAUGCUGUUCCUAGGCUUUCAUCGACAUCCUCUUCUGAGUUUACCUCCCUGGGAACCAGCUGCCCAGAGGGACAUGGGUUUGACCCCUAAUCUGGGAGUAUCCCACAAGCCUUGGGGCAACUGAGCCCGUGCACCACAAGUACCGAAGCCAGGGCUCAGGAGCCCACAGACCGCAACGACUGAGCCCACGCACCACAAGUACUGAAGCCCGAGUGCUCAAGAACCCGUGCUCUGCAGCCAGAGGCCACUGUGAUGAGAAGCCCUCACACCACAGCUGGAGAGCAGCCCCUUCUCGCCACAGCUGGAGAAAACCCGCGUGCGCAAUGAAGACCCAGCACAGCCAAAAAGAAAGAAAUAAAUAUAAAAACAAACAC